RNAcentral lists this ribosomal RNA (450 nucleotides) under uncultured bacterium. RNAcentral describes it as "partial 16S ribosomal RNA". It matches the Rfam family "Bacterial small subunit ribosomal RNA", at positions 338 to 795 of the family's 1533-position model. The record is from RNAcentral.
CCUACGGGUGGCUGCAGUGGGGAAUAUUGGACAAUGGGCGCAAGCCUGAUCCAGCCAUGCCGCGUGAGUGAUGAAGGUCUUCGGAUCGUAAAGCUCUGUGGGAAGGGAAGAAAAAAGUAUACCUCAUACGUAUGCUCUUGACGGUACCUUCUUAGCAAGCACCGGCUAACUCUGUGCCAGCAGCCGCGGUAAUACAGAGGGUGCAAACGUUGCUCGGAAUUAUUGGGAGGCGAGCGCAUAAAGGCGGUCUGAAAGCCCUCGGCUUAACCGAGGAAGGGCAUUCGAAACUGCCAGGCUUGAGUAUGGAAGAGGGUCUCGGAAUUCCCGGUGUAGAGGUGAAAUUCGUAGAUAUCGGGAGGAACACCAGUGGCGAAGGCGGAGACCUGGGCCAAUACUGACGCUGAGGUGCGAAAGCGUGGGGAGCAAACAGGAUUAGAUACCCGUGUAGUC